CUCCCCGUAAUCCUCAGAUUGUAUCUUUUUUGGAAUUACUAGAUCUUCCUUAUGUUCUUGAUAAUGCAUAGGACUCCAGGGAUACUCCUUCUUCAUUGCCUCAAAAGGGUAAAGAGUUUUCUAUUUACCUUGUCCCACUCAGUUUUGAUGCCUUGUCCCUUUAUACGGUAGUUAAUCUUCAUUGUGAUGCAGUCAAACCUAGAGUAUACAUGAAUCUAGGAAUACCUUUUGCUUGUCGUGUUUAAUAUGGUGCUAAUGCUCUCCAAUAUAGUUUAAUGGGAUAGAUAAUUGAUCAUUUGCUUUCAACCAAGGUAGAACAUUGAAUAUGCCUAAUGUUUUGAGCUUUGUGCAUAUCAUACGUAAUGCUAUAACUUUACCUCGUCCAUGUUGAUCGAACUAAAUCCAUUAAAUUUCUUAAGGUGACAUCGUUUUUCUUGUUGGUUCAUUAGAUGAUUACAGUGAAGACAUUCCCAAUGAAGAUGAGAUUGAUCUAGCAGAUGAUGCAGAACGGAAUAAUUAAAAUCGGUGCUCAUGAAUAUGAAUAAUAUUUUCUAUCAACCAAGAGGUUUAUUAGUGCAAAAAGAUUGAUAGCAAUAUCUUGCUAUACUAUGACGCUUUACUUGUUUGUGAAGUUGGCAACUUGGUUUAAUGGCCCACACUUUUCCAACUUUCAUCAGUAGAGGAGAGCACCUAUACAAGUUUCUUUCUUUCUUUGUAUCUAAAAUAAUGUAUAAACAUCAAAUAUUAUAUCAAUAGCUUUUAUCACAGUCAUUCAUUAUAUGAGCUUGAAUUUGGAAUCUCAAAUUUUUUGGGGCUUUUCUAAUUGAAUUGAUGUUAUUAAUAUGGAUAAAUGACAAUAGCAUGGAGUUUGUAUCUUGCUUCUUGCAAAUUUAGUAAUUUGUUGUAUUCCGACAUCCAGGAACAUCCAAGGCAUGGCACCCUUAAUCAGGCAUGAGCUUUGUUCUUUUUCAAUAAGCAAUUUUCAGACAUGGCCAUUGGUUACAAUCCAUUAGCACAUUUAUAAGAUUAUUAAAUUGUUUAAAGGGAUAUUAGAAGGGUGAACUAGAAAAAUUAUAAAGGAAAUUUUCGCAUUUUAUUCUUAGUUUUAUAGAACUUAAAAGAACCUUUAUUUUUAAGAAAUUGUGAUUUAUAAAUUGAAAUGUAAAUUUUGAUAUCGAAGAAACUAAGAUUAGAAUCAAUGGUGAGAUGUUAAAGCCUCUUAGAAGGCUGUGGAAGAAGAUGAUGAGUCCAAAAGGUUGUUUUAUUAUUUUUGGUGUUCAAUCAAUUGAUUUAGGAUGCUUGCAAUGGAAAUACAUUAGAGUUUUAUAUUUGAGGUGGUAUUAGUUUAUGGAAUAAGCUAGGGAUUAGGUGGGGCUCUUGCUAGAGUUGGCACUGAAGUAUUACAUGAACGAUGUUCAGAAGGUACAACUUUUUGAGUUACAGGUUUACUCUGUGAUUAUUUAUAUUCCUUGGAUUGUGAAUUUUAUUUAGGGGCUUCUUAUUGAUAUUGUGUUCAUUAGAAGUUAUAGAAGACACGUCACUAUUUCAUUUUAUCUAAACAUUUUUACGUUUUCUGCCUCCUCCUUUACUUAUAUUUUAUAGUUUCCCCCAAUUCAUAAAUGCAAUCACAUUGAUAUGCUCGUUUCGACCAUGGUAAUAAGCUGUCAUACUUCCAUUAUUUUUUUGAGUAAAACAGCUUGGUAUAUUAAAUAAAAUAAAAUUAAUAGAACUGAAAUACCUAAAAUUUCAGAUCCAAUAUAGACUUAACUCUAAUCAUCAAUUAAAUAAUAUAUUUCAAUUUAAAAUUUAUAAAUAGUAAAUUUAUAUUAUCCUUUAUAUUUUUAGAUAUAUAUUUUAUUAAAUUUUCUAACAAUAAAAUUAUUUAUGAAUUGCUAGAAAAGUUUAAAAUAGUUAUAUUAAAAAUAUAUAGGUAAUAAAAAACUUAACAUUUCUUAGUUUGAAAUGCCCAAAAACCACCUCAAAUUUUAAAUUUAUCUUUGUUAGUCACUACAUUUAACAUCAUUAAACUACCAGAUUUUAAUUAUAUUUUUUAAUUCUUUAUAUAUUUUAAUAGUAAAUAGUAUUAUCUUAAAAAUAAAUAUAUUUAGACAUUGAGAAUAUAAAAGUGUAUUAAAUGAAAUUUUGAAAAGUAAAUAACUCAAUUAUCACUUUAUUAAAUGAGUGUAUUAAAUAGCAAUAGUUACCGUUGGCAGGAGAAGAUUCCUUCUGCCCGUUUUCAUCAGUCUUUUCAAAUCCCCUUCCUUUCCAUUUCUUUACCAUCUCUUUCUCUUAAAAAUUUUCCUCUCUAAUCCGUUUUCAUCUCUUCCUUCUCAAUCGUUUCUGCUUUUUAUUUUUAAUUUUUUUAUUGUGAUAUUGGAAUCACUUGCUUCAUCCAUAGAUUUUGGGUUUUCAGCCCUAGGAAAUAUUGUUUCGGUUCGUCUUUUCAAAUCUAUGGAUGUCGGUGUGGUUGUUCUUGUUGGAUGCUUUGAAAAAGAAAGAAAUUCUGGUUCUGCAAGAUUUCACCAGUCAUGGCGUCUCUUUUAUAGUCAAUACUUUAUUAUUCAUAUUCUAUGUUACAUUGAUUCUUAUCCCAAAUAGACACGCUAUUCCUUUCAUCGUAUUGCACGGUAAUGUUCUUAUCCCAAUAUCUUUUCUUCUCAAUUUUAGUGUUCUUAUGCACUCUCCCAUAGCUUAAAUUCAUUCUUUUAUAGUUGACACGAGAUAUGUAUUUGUAUCAAGAAAAAGCAGGUUGGGACUGAAUUGAAUAAAAUGAAAAGUACACUAAUUCUGAAAUUGUACUCGGCGUGUGGCGAAAUGACCAGCUUAUUCCCAUAUUUUCUCCUACUUUUCCUUUAUUUCUAACGUUCCUUUCUCCUUUAUUAGCUACUCUUUUGAUUAGUUUUAUGUACGUCCAGUAGGCCCGUUCCCUCCCCUAAAAUUUACGAAACCAAUUACUCUAUUCCUCUAAAUAUUUUAUUUUACCGAUGAAAAUAAAAUACAAAUAUUAUAAUAUUGUUAUGUUAUAAACUCUCUGUUAAAUCAAGAUAGCUUCAUUCUCUCUCUCGAAAAAGGAAAAGAAAAGGUUUGAAUUCAUGAAUCAGCGGUAGCUUCUUCCGAAUGAGUGAGUUGAGGUAGUGCUAGUCUUUCUUUUAAGGUAUAAAUUUGAUUCUUAGAAAAAUCUUGUUUUUUCUUCAUCUCUUUUUAUUCUGUUUGGUUUAUCUGAUCGAGGAAAAUCGAGGGAAAUUUGUAUCAAACUUGACAUUAGUCCUUGUUCUUUUUAAAUAAUUCCUGAUUCACCUGUGAGUUGGCAAAUUCUGUUCAUCCUGCAUUUUCCCGGAAGCCAAACAGGGGACUUAAAUGUUUUUAAUUUCGAAAAUUUUGUUCUCUUACGGAAAUAUUGAAAAAAUACAUGUCUUUCAGUUGGUCCCUUUAUUCUCUCCGAUUUCCCCUUAUUUUUUUCUAACGUCUUUUUUCCUUUACAGGCUGUUAAUUUUCUUUCUUAUUCUGUUCAGGCUUUAUCUCCGUCAUAUUUAGACUCGGAAUAAGCUAUUCCCCGGAUAUCCUGUCUUUUCUUAUUCCGGUUCUCAAUUUUUGGCCUCCGGUUUAUUGGUUUUAGUGGCCGGUUCAGCUAUUUUUUCUUGUCUGGACCGGCCAACCUGACAUGGUUAUUCUGGACAUAUCCCGGUUCUUUGCUAUCCCGUAUUGGUAUAUCCCGACCUAGCUAUAUCCCAUUCUGGGAAUAUCCCGAUUCCCCACUUUUUUUUCCUUAAGUCUCUUUACCUUCUUUGUCUUUAAUUCCUCAAAAAAAAAAAAAAGGCAAUUUAAAGAAGGUAUUGAUUACCAUAAAUGUUACCAUUGUCACAUGGGGAUUUAGAAAAUUAUGUUCUCUCUCUUCCGUUCAUAGCUUCCCCAUUUCUUCACCUAUUCAUCCAGCUCUUUAAAUUUAUUUUCCCUUUUAUUCUCUGUUGUUUUUCCAUUCUUUGAUCUCUGUUAAUCCUCUCUUUCGUUUUCUUUAUUCUCUUUCCCUUCCUUUCUUGUCCUUUCGUAGCAAACCCCGGACACUGCCGCGCCAUCAACACCUUCCGGCGUCUUACCUCCGAUCAAAGGUCAGUUUCCUUCCCAUUAUUCGAAAUUUGAAUCCUCAAAUCUAUCUCUUCUAUCCAUAGCACCCCAUUUAUUCGCUGAGUCCCUCUCUCUCUCUCUUGUCUGUUUUGAAUUUCUUCCUCUCAUUUUUUUCUAGUUUUGGGUGCACAGAAAGACGCUACACUAGGUUUUCUCUGCCGUUUCUGGUUUUUGUGAUUUUUUGAAUUUCUCUGCUUUAUCGGUGACUGAUUUCAGGUAUGAAUCAUCACUUGUACUUUGUCUUUGUCUUUGCCAUUUCAUUUUGUAAAUUCUCUAGUUUUAGUAAAGUCUCUUCUUUCCUUUCCCUUUUAUCUCACUUAAGAUAAUGCUUUAAACUUUUUCACCUGUCUUUCUUUCUAAUGUGACAGUCCGGAUAGCCUACUGGUCUCGUGGAUAAAAAACUGCUUCCUGGGAUAUGUAGUACUCCUCCUGUCCAUAAAUAACUGUUUUUAGUUAGUAUCUUUCUUGCCCUGUGUAUACAUUCAUGGAUUCCUUUCUAUCUCUUUUGCAGGUGCAAAAUCUAUAAUAAAUAGAAGUUGAAACCGCUUAUGGUAUUGGAAUUUUUGAAAACAUUGUCUCAUUUCGUCUCAUUCAUCUCCAUUUUUUUUAAUUUAACAGAUAUUUUCUUUCGGUAUCUGUUCUCCUGUCUUUCCAUCCGUCCAUGGCUCUUUUAUUGUUAAUCCUGCCGUCGCCCUUUUGAUUCUUGUUUUAGUUUCAGAUAUAUGCUUCUUUUUACUUCUAUUUUCAGUGUGUUUUUGUCAUGGUUUUUUGUUUUCACCUUUAGAGGAUAAAGUCAUUAAGAAAAAAAACCUAAGGUUUUAAGUUUUUCUCAAACCCUACCACAGUAUUGUGUCCAAUUCGAAACGAUGAAGAUAGCGGUGGAAGGGUGCAUGCAUGGAGAUCUCGACAAGGUCUACGACACCAUUAAAUACAUCGAAAACACUCGCAACAUCAAAAUUGACCUCCUCCUUUGUUAUGGUGAUUUCCAGGUUCUUUCUCUCACACACUCACUUUCUCCAAUUUGUUGUUUUUAUACGAAAUUUUGUCACUUUCCAAAUACCCAUUUUUUUAUAUUAACUUAAUUAACUUAAUGUGGCCCCAAAAUAUAGGGAGAUGAAGUCAUUCUGGAAAUACUAUUCGGGUCAGGAGGUUGCCCCAGUUCCCACGAUUUUUAUCGGUGGAAAUAAUGAAGCUUCCAAUUAUUUAUGGGAAUUGUAAGUCACCCCCUUUUCUUCAUAUGUUCUAGCUCGGGGACUCUGAUUCUUUUAUGAAAAGGCCUUGAAUUUUACCUUCUGCUAAACUUUAGGUAUUAUGGGGGAUGGGCAGCACCUAAUAUAUACUUCUUGGGGUAUGCUGUGGUUGUGAAGUUUGGCAAUAUCCGUAUCGAUGGACUUUCCGGAAUUUACAAUGCGCGUAAUUAUUGUUUAGGUUGGGUAUGAAGUUCUUUUCUUGUCUAUUCUAUGUUUAUUCUGGAGUUCUUUUAAUGGUGAUUGUAUAUUUACUGCAAGCGAGUGUCAGAUAUGUUAUAUUGAUUCUUAUUUAGGGUGGAGAGUCGAAGCUUUGAAACUGAAAUGAAUUAGCUUUUCCUUGAGCAGGACACCAUGAAAUGCCACCUUAUAAUGACAAUACUAUCAGGUCUGUGUAUCAUGUUCGGGAGUACGAUGUUCACAAGCUCAUGCUCCUAGAGAAACUGAUUGAUAUUUUCCUUUCACACGAUUGGCCGCUCAGCAUCACUGAUUAUGGGAACUGGCAACAACUUGUUUGCUGCAAAAAAACAUUUCAAAGGUGAGGUAAUAAUAUUCAAUUGGUGGAAAUGGACAUAUGUGAUAGAAUGAAAAUCUUCAUAUCAAGCGUCUUCAGUUUUCUUGUUGACCAUUCCUGGUUGCUUGUUGGUUGACACAUAUUUGCUAGAUCCAGCAAGGAACUCUUGGAAUCAAACCUGCUGCUCAGCUGCUCAAAAAACUCAGACCAUCGUAUUGGUUUUCGGCUCACUUGCACUGCAAAUUCACCGCUCUUGUUGAACAUGAAGAGGGUGGUCGAGUGACAAAAUUUCUUGCACUCAAUAAAUGCCUUCCAGGGCGCAAGUUCUUGCAGGUAUCUGUCAUAUGUUCUGACCAUUUCAUUUAGGUUCUUUCUUUUGGUCUUUGCUGGAAGCUAAUAAAUGAAUUCUGGCUUUCUCUGAUCUUUUAGGUUGUUGAUAUUGAUCUGAUCUAGGACCUUAUGAGGUUCAGUACGAUGAAGAAUGGCUGGCAAUAACACGGAAAUUGAACUGUCUUUCCUUUGACCUUCCGAUGUGGAGACAUUGGGUGUGUGUAUAUAUGACAUUUUUGUUUUGACCAUGCCACUCAUCUCACUCUCUCUCUCUCUUGGGUGGGGUGGACUAAUGUUUUAUUUGAAAAUGUGCAAUUUUCUAUUUUUGCAAGGACUGUUACUCAUACAAGAACUUGUGAGCUGACAACUGCUGUUCUAAUAGGUAGGAGAACAAAGCUCGACAUGCAAGAUUGUUGUCAAUGGGUUAAGAGCAGGAUGGAAGACAGAGGAGCCAAACCUUGUGAAUUUUCUCAAACAGCUCCACCUCACAAACCCUUUGAUUCUUACUUUUUCUGGUAAAUAAUAUGGUGAUAUUUUGAUGCUUUUCCUUCUUUGAGCUGCUAAUAGUAUCUCCAUUAAUGGUUCUAUCUUUUGGAUUUAAGAAACUUACCAUAUAUGUUUGCAUAUUUAUACCAUAGGCAUCUCAAUAUUACUGUCACAGUGGUUAUGAAACACUAUCCUUCAUUUUUUAUCUUCUUUUAGCUCAAUUAAUUGUUGGUUAGUGAAUGCGUUCUUUUUUAUUUAGAUUUGCAACUAGAAUAAUCAUGACUUUUGCAAUUUGUUUUUGCUCGAUUUCUUUUUUAAUUAUUAAAAUUUUCUCACCUUUUGUAGGUUCUCCCCGUAAUCCUCAGAUUGUAUCUUUUUUGGAAUUACUAGAUCUUCCUUAUGUUCUUGAUAAUGCAUAGGACUCCAGGGAUACUCCUUCUUCAUUGCCUCAAAAGGGUAAAGAGUUUUCUAUUUACCUUGUCCCACUCAGUUUUGAUGCCUUGUCCCUUUAUACGGUAGUUAAUCUUCAUUGUGAUGCAGUCAAACCUAGAGUAUACAUGAAUCUAGGAAUACCUUUUGCUUGUCGUGUUUAAUAUGGUGCUAAUGCUCUCCAAUAUAGUUUAAUGGGAUAGAUAAUUGAUCAUUUGCUUUCAACCAAGGUAGAACAUUGAAUAUGCCUAAUGUUUUGAGCUUUGUGCAUAUCAUACGUAAUGCUAUAACUUUACCUCGUCCAUGUUGAUCGAACUAAAUCCAUUAAAUUUCUUAAGGUGACAUCGUUUUUCUUGUUGGUUCAUUAGAUGAUUACAGUGAAGACAUUCCCAAUGAAGAUGAGAUUGAUCUAGCAGAUGAUGCAGAACGGAAUAAUUAAAAUCGGUGCUCAUGAAUAUGAAUAAUAUUUUCUAUCAACCAAGAGGUUUAUUAGUGCAAAAAGAUUGAUAGCAAUAUCUUGCUAUACUAUGACGCUUUACUUGUUUGUGAAGUUGGCAACUUGGUUUAAUGGCCCACACUUUUCCAACUUUCAUCAGUAGAGGAGAGCACCUAUACAAGUUUCUUUCUUUCUUUGUAUCUAAAAUAAUGUAUAAACAUCAAAUAUUAUAUCAAUAGCUUUUAUCACAGUCAUUCAUUAUAUGAGCUUGAAUUUGGAAUCUCAAAUUUUUUGGGGCUUUUCUAAUUGAAUUGAUGUUAUUAAUAUGGAUAAAUGACAAUAGCAUGGAGUUUGUAUCUUGCUUCUUGCAAAUUUAGUAAUUUGUUGUAUUCCGACAUCCAGGAACAUCCAAGGCAUGGCACCCUUAAUCAGG
This 7997-nucleotide long non-coding RNA is filed under the name Gossypium barbadense (sea-island cotton). RNAcentral's name for it is "long non-coding RNA (GBAR_LNC023014)". Lineage: Eukaryota; Viridiplantae; Streptophyta; Magnoliopsida; Malvales; Malvaceae. The record is from RNAcentral.